UGGGGAAUAUUGGACAAUGGGCGAAAGCCUGAUCCAGCAAUGCCGCGUGAACGAUGAAGGCCUUAGGGUUGUAAAGUUCUUUUGUCAGGGAAGAUAAUGACGGUACCUGAAGAAUAAGCACCGGCUAACUUCGUGCCAGCAGCCGCGGUAAUACGAAGGGUGCUAGCGUUGUUCGGAAUCACUGGGCGUAAAGCGCGCGUAGGCGGCUUAACAAGUCAGAGGUGAAAGCCUGGAGCUCAACUCCAGAACUGCCGUUGAAACUGUUAAGCUUGAGUGUCGGAGGGGAUAGCGGAAUUUCUAAUGUAGAGGUGAAAUUCGUAGAUAUUAGAAGGAACACCGGUGGCGAAGGCGGCUAUCUGGACGACAACUGACGCUGAGGCGCGAAAGCGUGGGGAUCAAACAGGAUUAGAUACCCCGGUAGUCCCUGAGCGGGCUGGCAAGGCGCAU
RNAcentral lists this ribosomal RNA (447 nucleotides) under uncultured bacterium. RNAcentral's name for it is "bacterial SSU rRNA". It matches the Rfam family "Bacterial small subunit ribosomal RNA", at positions 355 to 825 of the family's 1533-position model. The record is from RNAcentral.